GGCUGGUCCGAUGGUAGUGGAUUACCAGAAGUUACUAACAUUAGUGUCACUAAAGUUGGUACACAACCUGCCACUGCUAAAUUUGACUAGCUUUAA
This 96-nucleotide Y RNA is filed under the name Prolemur simus (greater bamboo lemur). RNAcentral describes it as "Y RNA (ENSPSMG00000015991.1)". It matches the Rfam family "Y RNA". From Rfam's summary of the family: Y RNAs are components of the Ro ribonucleoprotein particle (Ro RNP), in association with Ro60 and La proteins. The Y RNAs and Ro60 and La proteins are well conserved, but the function of the Ro RNP is not known. In humans the RNA component can be one of four small RNAs -- hY1, hY3, hY4 and hY5. Lineage: Eukaryota; Metazoa; Chordata; Mammalia; Primates; Lemuridae. The record is from Rfam by way of RNAcentral.